RNAcentral lists this ribosomal RNA (493 nucleotides) under uncultured bacterium. Its description in RNAcentral is "partial 16S ribosomal RNA". It matches the Rfam family "Bacterial small subunit ribosomal RNA", at positions 27 to 507 of the family's 1533-position model. The record is from RNAcentral.
GAGUGAACGCUGGCGGUAGGCCUAACACAUGCAAGUCGAACGGCAGCACAGUAAGAGCUUGCUCUUACGGGUGGCGAGUGGCGGACGGGUGAGGAAUACAUCGGAAUCUACUUUUUCGUGGGGGAUAACGUAGGGAAACUUACGCUAAUACCGCAUACGACCUACGGGUGAAAGCAGGGGAUCUUCGGACCUUGCGCGAUUGAAUGAGCCGAUGUCGGAUUAGCUAGUUGGCGGGGUAAAGGCCCACCAAGGCGACGAUCCGUAGCUGGUCUGAGAGGAUGUUCAGCCACACUGGAACUGAGACACGGUCCAGACUCCUACGGGAGGCAGCAGUGGGGAAUAUUGGACAAUGGGCGCAAGCCUGAUCCAGCCAUACCGCGUGGGUGAAGAAGGCCUUCGGGUUGUAAAGCCCUUUUGUUGGGAAAGAAAAGCAGCAGGUUAAUACCCCGCUGUUCUGACGGUACCCAAAGAAUAAGCACCGGCUAACUUCGUG